GAUGUUACAGACAAGAUGGAAAUAUUCAGAGAAAGAGCGCAAAAUUCAGUCUUAUUAAAUUAUUAUUAAGAGUUUCAAAUUAUCCUUUUUCAGUUGAAUUCAUUUAUGUAAUUACCUACAUGUAUGUGUGAGUAUACAUAUAAAAUAUAUAUUAGCUCUCACUGUGUAGCUCGUUAAACUACCACAUAAAAUAUUUCCAUUGUUAAAUGUCAGACUAGCUACUAUGCAAGUACCUAGCUUCUAUGCAAGUAGCUACUGCAGUUCUAAGAGAGCCACAAAAAGUUUGAAUAUAAUUUUAGUUCCUCAGAAAACAAAAAAUACAGUUUUUCUCAUUAUUUUAAUGAAAUUCAAGCUUCAAAAUGCACUAGAAACAGAAAAAAAUAUCAAUUAACAACAACAAAAAAGUAUGAAAAUGAAUCUUCCACCUACUGCAGCACAAAAUGCACCACCUCCUACAUCGUUAGCAAUCUAUGGUAAGUAAAGCUUAUUUCACAAGAACCUGAACUUAUCUAACCAAUAACAUCUCUAAAACCUGGUUUUCUUUUCAAAUUUUUGAAAUUCCAGCCUUCCCUUCACUUAAUGAAACAGAAAUUCAUAAUGUUUACUUAUUAACUUACACUAACAAGCAUAUCUUGCUUUAAAGUUGGGGUCAUUAAAGUCCGUAAGUUAUUUUAUUUUAUGUUUUUAACUAUUUUUUAAUAUUUUGGGAAAUACUCAGGACUGCAACACUGACAAAAACAUUUAAGAUCGACUUUAUUUAUGUUUUUUUAAAUUCCUUUAUGAGAGAAUUUUGUGACAACCCAGUCUUCCCUCUAAAUAAAUAAAUAAACAAACAAACAAAUAAAUAAGUAAAUAAAUGAAACAGUGUCAAAAUAGGAAGUAACAUCAUAGAAUUCUUACACUAAAUACUGGCAUGUCUCUAGGUUAAUAAUAUUAAAAAAGAAUUAGAAAAGCACUUAAGUUAAACCCUCUCUUUAUUCCUUGCUAUUCUAGAGUGAAAAGGAGAGCAAAAACAAUCUGAGGAUUUUUGCAGUUCUGUGUUAUUCACCUCUCUCUUGAGCAAAGUAGGAAUCCACAUGAAAUAAGCAGCAAGGGCAAAGUGAACUGUUACUCAGCAAAGUAGGAAUGAGACAUUUCAGAGUAGAAUAUUUGAGAAUUCUAAGAACUGCUCAGUUUCCCUCAUGUGUCUCUCAUUUCUUUUAUAAGUAGAUAUAGUUCAUUUUCCUACUGUGUGAUAAUUAACAUGAAACAAAGUUCCAUUUUUACUCUAUUUGAAUUCAGAAGACAGAUUAUAAAUUUUACUAAAAAGCAAAAUUGUUCAGAAUUACAUCCAAAGUAUCCUAAUUUAUCAGUGAACAGCAACUAACUUCUUCAGUAUUACUCUAGGUGUGUACUGCUGCCAGCUUAAGGAAAUUCAGUAUCUUGAAAAUGGCUUAAGAUAACCAACUGCUGUUAACAAUAGUAGCAGAAUGAUGCCCUGUUACAAAUCCCUGAAGGAAAUAGGAGCUCUUGCCCUGUAGCUAUACUCAAUAUAUAUUUAAUAUGAUUUUUCAUAAAAAUCUUUUAUAACUUGGCAUCACAAAGUCAAACUGUAUUAUCAUUACCCAUGUAAGUUCAGCACAAUAUACUGUAAUCUCAGCAUAUCUAGGAAAAUAAAUUGUUCAUGCAUUUCACACAUGAAAAAAUGUAGCUGCUCUUAGCAGUGACCUUUCACUUCUCCAGUGAGAUACUCUAUUUCCUGCUGUACACUGACUUACUGUACUUUAUCAUCUGUUAUGUUCUUUAAGCAUAAAGAGAACUUUUAAGUUCAUUUUAUGGUUCACACAGAAUAGAGUGGAAACAUUUUUAGCCUUUUAGCCUUUGCAAUUUUUUUCAUGCUCUUCCAGUCAUAGAUGCUGUAGUGGAAUUCCAGGGUCACAGCCUGAACCAAUGGGUGGGCUCUGUGAGUGUGUGAGUGCGGCGGCGCGGCGGUACGAACGGGGGAGGGACACAUUCCUCAGCUCGGCUCUGCCUGCGCGCUGCUACCGGGAGGGUGAAAACAUGAUACUGAUAUGCUGGAGGAAACACUGACCUCCUCUCUUCAGUGAUCUCUCAACAUCUGUGAUUCACUUACACAAAGGCAAGAAAAGAGAAUACUAGAAAUACUGAAAAAGUACUGUUGUACAAAGAACCACGAGUUCUGUAUCCUCAGCUACAGAAUUGAUUCAGCAAGCACAAAGAAAUGAACUUGUAAUAAAAUUGCCCUUGAAAUUCUCAGAUGAGAAUGUAUGGUACAAGAGGAACAUUAUCAUAUAUUUCCAACACCUCCUAGCCAUCCUUAUGCCUUCUAGUCCAGGUAAGUAAGAAAACAUGGAGAAAGUUCUAUGUUCUAUGGUAUCAUCAUUAUUCAGAUUUAAGUAUAUAUGGUCUGUGCAUAUACUUAACAGGUUCUCUAUCACUGCAUGUUGUAAUUCAAUGCUUAUCUGAAUUAACCUUUUCCUUUUAAUCCCUAUAAAACUCUGGUUUAGGAACGGGCAGUAUGUAUAAGAUGCUAACUCAAAGAACUGUACAAAAACUUUCCUUCUUGGAAGCAUCCCAAAAAGAUUUUGUGCUAAUUCCAUACAUAAAUUGAAAUUAUGUGUGUAAACUUCUGUGCAGUGGUUAAGAGAGCAUUCAAUAAAAGGAGCAUGCUCCUUAAGACCACAUAGAAAUAUUUAAAAUUCUUGGAAAAUAGGAUUUUAUUCAGAAGUUUUUCACACAGUAAUCUGCCUAGAAUGGAAUCUUUCUCACUUGAGUUGAAGGACCACCGAUGGAAUUAAAUCCCAAAGCUCUGUGUAUUCCCAAUUUAACAGUUCAAGUAGCAAAACUGGUAGUUAUGAAAUUGGCCAAAGAGCUUCUCCAUUAUUUUGGCAGUUCAUACAAGUUACUAUGCCUGUGGUGCAAAUCCAAAAUCUGGAUUCUCGGGAAGGUACCAGAUUGCAGCCUAGAGCAAAUACUUUAAUUGCACUAGACUCUUCCUUCAACAUUUGCAGUAUCAGUCAAUCCACUAUUAUUAUAUAACGACUUAGUUCUGAUGAACCUUAUUCUUCAAGAGACUACAGACAGACUACUCUGAAAUCCUCCACAAGUGUCUUACUUUGCAUACAGGAGAUACCUGAGACAAUUCUCCUUUGCCAGCCAAUUUCAAAAAGCCAAAACAUAAAAACUUUGGAAAUUAGCUAGAUGUUACACGAGUGCUGCAAAAUGUAACAAGAGCUGUAAUACCCUCAUGAUCAGUACAUGGUCAUAUUCACACAUCCUACUAAAGUCAUCCAAAUACAGUAGCUCUGAAGCAGCCUGAUUCUAUAGUGCACUCAACCCAACCACCAUUGAAAUCAACAGAAGAUUCCUACUGAUCUCAGUCCUUACCCUGUGUGUGACUGCUAGAUGCUGGGCAGUGCCAGAUCUGCUGAUUUUGAUUAAUGAAAAUGGAGAGAGGCAGCUGUUCAAAGGAACUAGUUCAAAGCAGUUCAAAUCAGACACCGUAAGUAAGUGGCAGAUCUCUCCAAUUAAACACACAAACAAAGUCAGAAUUGUAGAGCCCUUUUUACUCAUGUUUUUGAGUGGUAUUUUCAAAUUCAAAUCUCAGUUUAAGUUCCCCAGUAAUGAGAGCUCAGUAAGUUCCCAGAUUUUCUAGUGUUUCCAAAUAAUCUAUGACCCGGACUAACAAUAUAUGAGAGAAAUUGCAUUUAUAUUUCAUUUGUAGCACAGAAAUGUUUAAAAUCUGCUUUAUGGCACCUGAGUUUCAUAGCGGUUCUUCACAAUUAUACACUUCAUGUGUAUUUUUUGCUUUUUUGUGGUGCAUUACAUUCUCUAGUUAAGCAGAAUGCUAUGUAUACCCCUAAAAAUGCAUUCCUAUAUGUUUCUACAGUAAUGAAUUUAUUCGGUGAUAAAUACCACUCUUCUGUAGAAUUGUCACACACAAGUUUUAAUGCAGUUAGUUUCAUGUUCAGCCAUAAAUACAAUAAACUAUAUAUACAAUAACUGCUUAAAAUACUUUUUAAUUUAUUGGGAAAAUUAUUCUGAGACAUUCUUGAAAACUGACAAAUAUGCUUAGUCCCUGGAACAGCAAGACAACUUAACCACUCUACCUUACCAUUCAAACAGAAUUGGUAACUAAAAAUUUUUCCAGUCCUGGUAAGUAGACCCUCGUAGACCCUACAGUAAUUCAAUUUACUUAUUCCAUUGUUUGCAGCUUGUACAGGUGCUAUAAAAGGAGCAAUCACCUUAUGCUUUUCUAGUACCCAAUUAACUUUAUUAAUAUAUUAUUAAUGUAUCUUCUCCUUCUGCAUGUUGCGGAGGAAGACUCUGCUCCUUUAUUAAAUUAAAUUAAGAUUGGCCUUCCGGUACCUGAAGGCGCCCUACAGGAAAGCUGAGGAGGGACUUUUUAUAAGGGCAUGUACUGAUUGGGCAAGCAGAAAUGGCUUUAAACUGGAAGAGAGUAGAUUUACACUAUAUUUUAGGAAGAAAUUCUUUACUGUGAGGGUGGUGAGACACCAGAACAGGUUGCCCAGCAAGGCUGUGGAUGCCCGCUCCCUGGAAGCAUUCGAGGCCAGGCUGGAUGGUGCUUUGAGCAACCUGGUCUAGAGGGAGGUGUCCCUGCCUAUAGCAGUGGUGUUGGAACUAGAUGAUCUUAAAGGUCCCUUCCAACCCAAGCCUAUGAUUCUAUGAUUUCUAAAAGAUCAAGAGGAAUUUUUUCUACGAACUUAGUUAAAAGGAAAAAAAAUCUAAAAGAAUCUAAAGGUCUUGUUUAACUGCACUUUUAUGUCAUGGUUUUGUAAUUUUGCUAUUGGUAUUCCACAUCAUAACAUCAUGGA
Molecule: long non-coding RNA, 4835 nt
Organism: Gallus gallus (chicken)
Lineage: Eukaryota; Metazoa; Chordata; Aves; Galliformes; Phasianidae
Exons: 4
Source: RefSeq, a predicted model, not a curated record